This 613-nucleotide ribosomal RNA is filed under the name uncultured fungus. RNAcentral's name for it is "eukaryotic LSU rRNA". The stretch from base 253 to 400 matches the Rfam family "5.8S ribosomal RNA". The record is from RNAcentral. Lineage: Eukaryota; Fungi.
CCCCGGGCUGGGGAGAGGCGGAGUUUAAAUCUUGUUCAUCGCCUUCGGAAAAUUGUACAAGGUUAUAAGCUAAUUAAGCGGAGGGAGCAUAGGGAGGCUGACGUAGCGGUUAAGAUGAAAACCAGUUUAAUUUUCCCUUUGUUGGGAGGGGGGCAACAGGUUGACGAAGUGCCAUAGGAACGAGCUGGUGAAAAACCCCAUAACUGGCCAAGCUCUGGAGAUGAGAGUCUUCUGAGAACCGAGCAUACCUGGAACUCUCGGCAGGGGAUCUUUUGGUUCAGGCAUCGAUGAGAACUCAUCGAAAUGUUUAAGUUAUGUGAAUUGCAGAAUUCAGUGAAUACCGAUGCUUACACACACAUGCGCCCCUAAAAUAUUCAAGAGGCCUGCCGUUCGAGCCACAUUACAACCCUAAAGCGUGCCUGGGGUUGGACGCGCCACUUUGGCGGGGCAUAAAAUCAAUGGAGGUACCGUGUGGUGUAUGAGCGUGUAAAUAUCCUCGCUACAGAGACCUUGCUGUUCUUGCCAUCGACCCCCACUUCUUAAGUUUGACCUCGGAUCAUGUAGGGAUACCCGCUGAACUUAAGAUAUCAUAAGCGGAAGAAAGGGCGUUUCA